GCUGCGGUAGCUCAGUGGCAGAGCACACCCUUGGUAAGGGUGAGGUCGAGAGUUCAAUCCUCUCUCGCAGCACCA
Molecule: transfer RNA, 75 nt
Filed under: Rhodobacterales bacterium
Lineage: Bacteria; Pseudomonadati; Pseudomonadota; Alphaproteobacteria; Rhodobacterales
Description: tRNA-Thr
Rfam family: tRNA
About the family: Transfer RNA (tRNA) molecules are approximately 80 nucleotides in length. Their secondary structure includes four short double-helical elements and three loops (D, anti-codon, and T loops). Further hydrogen bonds mediate the characteristic L-shaped molecular structure. tRNAs have two regions of fundamental functional importance: the anti-codon, which is responsible for specific mRNA codon recognition, and the 3' end, to which the tRNAs corresponding amino acid is attached (by aminoacyl-tRNA synthetases). tRNAs cope with the degeneracy of the genetic code in two manners: having more than one tRNA (with a specific anti-codon) for a particular amino acid; and 'wobble' base-pairing, i.e. permitting non-standard base-pairing at the 3rd anti-codon position.
Source: RNAcentral